AGCUGUAGAAAUACAGUCUUCUAUGCGAAAGCAUAGACAAUUUUACAGGUGCUGCAUGGCUGUCGUCAGCUCGUGUCGUGAGAUGUUGGGUUAAGUCCUUUAACGAGCGCAACUCCUGUCGUUAGUUGCAACUCCGUAAGGAGGCACUCUAUCGAGACUGCCUGGGAAACCAGGAGGAAGGUGGGAAUGACGUCAAGUCCGCAUGGCCCUUAUGCCUAGGGCAACACACGUGUUACAAUGGUUGGUACAAAGGGUUGCGAGCUUGUAAAAGUAAGCCAAUCCCAGAAAGCCAAUCUAAGUUCGGAUUGAGGUCUGCAACUCGACCUCAUGAAGUUGAAAUCGCUAGUAAUCGCAUAUCAGAACGAUGCGGUGAAUACGUUCUCGGACCUUGUACACACCGCCCGUCAAGCCAUGAAAGCUUUUUGCACCCAAAGUUGUUUUAGCUAACUCGUAAGAGAGGCGGAUACCUAAGGUGUGGGAAGUGAUUGGGGCUAAGUCGUAACAAGGUAGCUGUAGGAGAACCUGUGGCUGGAUCACCUCCUU
RNAcentral lists this ribosomal RNA (543 nucleotides) under uncultured bacterium GR-371.III.79. Its description in RNAcentral is "bacterial SSU rRNA". It matches the Rfam family "Bacterial small subunit ribosomal RNA", at positions 996 to 1532 of the family's 1533-position model. Lineage: Bacteria; Pseudomonadati; Acidobacteriota; Terriglobia; Terriglobales. The record is from RNAcentral.